This 69-nucleotide ribosomal RNA is filed under the name Moniliophthora roreri. RNAcentral's name for it is "partial 28S ribosomal RNA". Lineage: Eukaryota; Fungi; Basidiomycota; Agaricomycetes; Agaricales; Marasmiaceae. The record is from RNAcentral.
GGACAACAAUUAGAUCAUUUUGACCUCAAAUCAGGUAGGACUACCCAUCGCUGAACUUAAGCAUAUCAU